GUCUACAGGCCAUGCUGCCCUGAACAAGCCCAAUCCCAUCUGAUCUCGUGAAGCUAAGCAGGGUUGGGCCUGGUUAGUACUUGGAUGAGAGACCACCUAGGAAGACCAGGUACUGUAGGUG
RNAcentral lists this ribosomal RNA (121 nucleotides) under Pteropus alecto (black flying fox). The record is from RNAcentral. Lineage: Eukaryota; Metazoa; Chordata; Mammalia; Chiroptera; Pteropodidae.